RNAcentral lists this ribosomal RNA (258 nucleotides) under uncultured bacterium. Its description in RNAcentral is "partial 16S ribosomal RNA". It matches the Rfam family "Bacterial small subunit ribosomal RNA", at positions 99 to 355 of the family's 1533-position model. The record is from RNAcentral.
CGGACGGGUGAGUAACGCGUGGGGAACCUGCCCUGUACCGGGGGAUAGCAGCCGGAAACGGCUGAUAAUACCGCAUAAGCGCACGAAUGUCGCAUGACAUGGUGUGAAAAACUCCGGUGGUAUAGGAUGGACCCGCGUCUGAUUAGCCUGUUGGUGGGGUAAAAGCCUACCAAAGCGAAGAUCAGUAGCCGAGUUGAGAGACUGACCGGCCACAUUGGGACUGAGACACGGCCCAGACUCCUACGGGAGGCAGCAGCA